This 465-nucleotide ribosomal RNA is filed under the name uncultured bacterium. RNAcentral's name for it is "partial 16S ribosomal RNA". It matches the Rfam family "Bacterial small subunit ribosomal RNA", at positions 28 to 507 of the family's 1533-position model. The record is from RNAcentral.
GACGAACGCUGGCGGCGUGCUUAACACAUGCAAGUCGAACGGAAAGGCCCCUUUGGGGGUACUCGAGUUGCGAACGGGUGAGUAACACGUGAGUAACCUGCCCUUGACUUCGGGAUAACUUCAGGAAACUGGGGCUAAUACCGGAUAGGAAUCCUUGCUGCAUGGUGGGGGUUGGAAAGCUUCGGCGGUUUUGGAUGGACUCGCGGCUUAUCAGCUUGUUGGUGGGGUAGUGGCUUACCAAGGCUUUGACGGGUAGCCGGCCUGAGAGGGCGACCGGCCACAUUGGGACUGAGAUACGGCCCAGACUCCUACGGGAGGCAGCAGUGGGGAAUAUUGCACAAUGGGCGGAAGCCUGAUGCAGCAACGCCGCGUGCGGGAUGACGGCCUUCGGGUUGUAAACCGCUUUCAGCAGGGGCGAAGCUUGUGGUGACGGUACCUGCAGAAGAAGCACCGGCUAACUACGUG